This 160-nucleotide ribosomal RNA is filed under the name Stenotrophomonas sp. RNAcentral describes it as "partial 16S ribosomal RNA". The record is from RNAcentral. Lineage: Bacteria; Pseudomonadati; Pseudomonadota; Gammaproteobacteria; Lysobacterales; Lysobacteraceae.
GUGUAGCAGUGAAAUGCGUAGAGAUCAGGAGGAACAUCUACAUUGGCGAAGGCAGCUACCUGGACCAACACUGACACUGAGGCACGAAAGCGACCURGGGGAGCAAACAGGAUUAGAUACCCUGGUAGUCCACGCCCUAAACGAUGCGAACUGGAUGUUG